UUGAAAGGGUGGUGUAUUUAAGAA
RNAcentral lists this non-coding RNA (24 nucleotides) under Rattus norvegicus (Norway rat). The record is from RNAcentral. Lineage: Eukaryota; Metazoa; Chordata; Mammalia; Rodentia; Muridae.